Molecule: ribosomal RNA, 865 nt
Filed under: uncultured Bacillota bacterium
Lineage: Bacteria; Bacillati; Bacillota
Description: bacterial SSU rRNA
Rfam family: Bacterial small subunit ribosomal RNA
Source: RNAcentral
CGAACGGAAGUCGUUGUAAAGAAGCAGACAUGAACAAAGAACUUGUUCAAAGUGAGUAAAAGUAGGCUUACAACAAUGGCUUUAGUGGCGGACUGGUGAGUAACGCGUAAGGAACCUGCCUUUUAGAGGGGAAUAACAAUGAGAAAUCAUUGCUAAUACCGCAUAUGCCAUAGACACCACAUGGUGUCAGUGGGAAAGGAGCAAUUCGCUAGAAGAUGGCCUUGCGUCUGAUUAGAUAGUUGUGUGGUAACGGCAUACCAAGUCGACGAUCAGUAGCCGGACUGAGAGGUUGAACGGCCACAUUGGGACUGAGAUACGGCCCAGACUCCUACGGGAGGCAGCAGUCGGGAAUAUUGCGCAAUGGAGGAAACUCUGACGCAGUGACGCCGCGUAUAGGAGGAAGGUUUUCGGAUUGUAAACUAUUGUCGUUAGGGAAGAGAAAGGACAGUACCUAAGGAGGAAGCUCCGGCUAACUACGUGCCAGCAGCCGCGGUAAUACGUAGGGAGCGAGCGUUAUCCGGAAUUAUUGGGUGUAAAGGGUGCGUAGACGGGAGAGCAAGUUAGUUGUGAAAUCCCUCGGCUUAACUGAGGAACUGCAACUAAAACUACACUUCUUGAGUGCAGGAGAGGUAAGUGGAAUUCCUAGUGUAGCGGUGAAAUGCGUAGAUAUUAGGAGGAACACCAGUGGCGAAGGCGACUUACUGGACUGUAACUGACGUUGAGGCACGAAAGUGUGGGGAGCAAACAGGAUUAGAUACCCUGGUAGUCCACACCGUAAACGAUGGAUACUAGGUGUAGGGGAUAUUAAGUCUUCUGUGCCGUCGCAAACGCAAUAAGUAUCCCACCUGGGGAGUACGGCCGCAAG